UGGAAAAUAAAAAAAUGUAACAAGGUCUCCGUUGGUGAACCAGCGGAGGGAUCAUUA
Molecule: ribosomal RNA, 57 nt
Filed under: Albifimbria verrucaria
Lineage: Eukaryota; Fungi; Ascomycota; Sordariomycetes; Hypocreales; Stachybotryaceae
Description: partial 18S ribosomal RNA
Source: RNAcentral